UACAGAGGUGGCAAGCGUUGUCCGGAAUUAUUGGGCGUAAAGAGCUCGUAGGCGGUCUGUCGCGUCGGAUGUGAAAAUCCAGGGCUUAACCCUGGACCUGCAUUCGAUACGGGCAGACUAGAGUUCGGUAGGGGAGACUGGAAUUCCUGGUGUAGCGGUGAAAUGCGCAGAUAUCAGGAGGAACACCGGUGGCGAAGGCGGGUCUCUGGGCCGAUACUGACGCUGAGGAGCGAAAGCGUGGGGAGCGAACAGG
This 253-nucleotide ribosomal RNA is filed under the name uncultured bacterium. RNAcentral describes it as "partial 16S ribosomal RNA". It matches the Rfam family "Bacterial small subunit ribosomal RNA", at positions 524 to 776 of the family's 1533-position model. The record is from RNAcentral.